Non-coding RNA from Myxozyma melibiosi, 72 nucleotides. The record is from the annotation of a RefSeq genome assembly. Lineage: Eukaryota; Fungi; Ascomycota; Lipomycetes; Lipomycetales; Lipomycetaceae.
GGUCUUGUGGCCUAAAGGUAAGGCGUUGCUUUCCGGAGGCAAAGAUUGCGGGUUCGAGUCCCGUCUAGAUCU